This 322-nucleotide long non-coding RNA is filed under the name Ricinus communis (castor bean). RNAcentral describes it as "long non-coding RNA (RCOM_LNC002660)". Lineage: Eukaryota; Viridiplantae; Streptophyta; Magnoliopsida; Malpighiales; Euphorbiaceae. The record is from RNAcentral.
UAAAAAAAAAGACCUCACAUGCAUUGGUCAAUGACUUAAAUAGUUAAUUGAUGAUCAAAGAUAUUGUAAAGUGGUAGCUGUCUGGUUCCUAAAGAUAUAUGGUUACUUAGAACAACUCAAACAAAAUGGGGAAGAAAUACAGAUUGUUGUAAUAAUAAAAAAAAGAAAAAAAGAAAAAAUAGCUAAUUAGGUGCAAUAAAUUUUAUCCGUAGGAUAGACAAAUAUUUAUCGAGAGAUGUAGAAAUCCAACAAUUGCCGUUCUUGGCCAUAUACAAAACUCAAACUUUUUCUUUUCCUAAUAGAUAUAGUUGGCAUGCUCUUA